UACGUAGGGACCAAGCGUUGUUCGGAUUUAUUGGGCGUAAAGGGCGCGUAGGCGGCUUUUCAAGUGGCGGGUGAAAUCCCUCGGCUUAACCGAGGAACUGCCUGCCAGACUGGAAGGCUUGAGACCGGGAGAGGUGAGUGGAAUUCCCAGUGUAGCGGUGAAAUGCGUAGAUAUCAGGAGGAAUACCGAUGGCGAAGGCAGGUCUCUGGGCUGACACUGACGCUCAUGCACGAAAGCGUGGGGAGCAAACAGG
RNAcentral lists this ribosomal RNA (253 nucleotides) under uncultured bacterium. Its description in RNAcentral is "partial 16S ribosomal RNA". It matches the Rfam family "Bacterial small subunit ribosomal RNA", at positions 524 to 776 of the family's 1533-position model. The record is from RNAcentral.